CGAAAGUAGAAACGUCCUCCUUAACUGCACAGUGGACAAGUUGGGAAGCAAUGAUCGCAGGGAACUGCAUGAGCCUCUCAAACUGCAGUGUCUUUGUGAGAGACCAGAGGACUGGAGCUAAGGGGGAAAACACCAUCUGCUCCCCUCCCUUCUUCGUCAACGGAAGCAUUUAGUGCCAUCUGUGCCCCCGGAGAAAAGAGGAAAAAAAGAAAGGAGUGAGACUCUACAUCCCAAGUGCCAAUGGGGACAAAGAGGCUGCCAGUUGCCACGGACCACCAGAUGCUGGAAGACUGCAAGUCUGAAUGAGGGGUGUGCUUUCAGGAAGCCAUCUUGAUGGAGAAGCUGGCUGCUGCUCCCUAAAAUGGCUGUGUUGGCAUGAGGCUCCUGGCAAUGAAACUGAAAAAUCCCCAUCGUCGUCAUCAGCUACUGGAGAAACCGAGGCCAUCCUGCUAUGUUUGACUCAAAUGGUCAAUCACAUCACCUCAGGAAUCCAGCGUCCAGCAUCUCUUCCAGAUGGUUCGCUGUGGAAAUUAAACAAGCAGAUGAGGGAUGGUUUAAAAUGUGCACUAACUGAUUUAACCGGGUGUCUUAAAACCUUUCAGUCUUCAGACAAUCACUACUACUGGAUGGGCGUGUGGAUUUGGGCUGUUCACCCAUUUAAAUCUUAGAUGUUAGAAAACGUGUUGCACAGUCUUAUCAGUGCUAUAUAAACUGAAGAGAAUAAUGUGGCUUAAUGUGUGAAAAGUUUACAAUGAGAGUUGAUGUUAUCGAUAGAAAUGUCAAUGACUGGGAUUUUGCAUUCCCUAUUUUAAAUGGACUUUUAAUGCUUCUUUGUCUUGCAUUAAAGCAUAUGAACUUUCGUGUUAGGCAUUCAUUUUUUUAUGUUAUUGUAUUUAUAAAAUGUUCCAGUUUCAAUGGAUUUACAGGAAAUUGUGCUUAAUCCAGAUAUUUUGUAUGGCUACUGUAUGUAUGGAGUUUAAUACAAGAAUUAUGGCCAGUUUAUCAUUUGUCUGAUUAUGUGAUUGUAUGAAACAAACUUUUCAAACUGCACAAAUAA
This is a long non-coding RNA of Sinocyclocheilus rhinocerous, 1057 nucleotides long. RefSeq lists it as uncharacterized. NCBI's taxonomy places the organism in Eukaryota, Metazoa, Chordata, Actinopteri, Cypriniformes, Cyprinidae. The transcript has 4 exons. The record is from RefSeq and is a predicted model, not a curated record.